AGAGUUUGAUCCUGGCUCAGAGCGAACGCUGGCGGCACGCCUAACACAUGCAAGUCGAGCGAGAAAGUGACUUCGGUCGCGAGUAAAGCGGCGAACGGGUGAGUACAACGUGGAUAAUCUACCCUAAGGUCUGGGACAACCCCGAGAAAUCGGGGCUAAUACCGGAUAAGACCACAGUAUCCAAGGAUACAGCGGUAAAAGAUUUAUCGCCUUUGGAUGAGUCCACGCCCCAUCAGGUAGUUGGUAAGGUAAAGGCUUACCAAGCCUAAGACGGGUAGCCGGCCUUAGCGGGUGAACGGCCACAUGGGGACUGAGACACGGCCCUGACUCCUACGGGAGGCAGCAGUGGGGAAUAUUGGGCAAUGGGCGAAAGCCUGACCCAGCGAUGCCGCGUGAGGGAUGAAGGCCUUCGGGUUGUAAACCUCUGUCAGGAGGGACGAUGGGACUUUGUCUUGACGGUACCUCCAGAGGAAGCCCCGGCUAACUCCGUGCCAGCAGCCGUGGU
Molecule: ribosomal RNA, 505 nt
Filed under: uncultured bacterium
Lineage: Bacteria
Description: bacterial SSU rRNA
Rfam family: Bacterial small subunit ribosomal RNA
Source: RNAcentral